RNAcentral lists this long non-coding RNA (957 nucleotides) under Gossypium barbadense (sea-island cotton). RNAcentral's name for it is "long non-coding RNA (GBAR_LNC006790)". Lineage: Eukaryota; Viridiplantae; Streptophyta; Magnoliopsida; Malvales; Malvaceae. The record is from RNAcentral.
AAUUUUCUGUUUUUCAUUGGUUUCAAGCGGUUCAGUCAAAGACUGGUUAAACCCGUAUGUCUAGACUGAUAUACCAGUAACCGGUUAGUUCUCGGUCCGGUUCAGAAAACAUCGGUUAACACAUCUUAUAUCGAACUCUUGUUUAGAAAUUGUAUCUCGAAACGAACAUUUUAGCUCUCUGGAAAAACAGAUAAGCAUAGACUAGCAAAGAGACAAAUACUGGGAAGAUUGGAAACUUGGUGAAGAAUUUUUAACAAGCUAAUACCUAAAGAAUUUUUAACAAGCUAAUACCUAAUGUAAGGCCCAAAUUUUGCCCGGGGCCAAUAAAACUAAAUUUAACUUAAACCAACUUUAGCCCAACCCAAACUAAAACAAAAAAUCCUAGGGGUGCCGCCCUACUGUCUGCCACCAUAACCUACUGCAUAGUUGGCCACCCACCCCAUUUUGCUCUACUUGCCUGUAAUGGAAAAGACAAAUAAAUUAAAAAAAGAACAAGUUGUAAAAGGUUAGAAAAACCUACAAUCUCAAUGUAAUGGAGGGGAUUUUGGAUUCUAUCUCAUUUUCGGCUAAAAAUAGAAGCCGAAAGCAAUCGUAAAAGGGGGAUCCCCAUUCUUGUACGCAAGGAUUUUUCAGAAAUAAAAAGGAGAAAAAAAAAUAAAAAAGGGUUAAUUUCCAAUCGUAUUCUCUUGGUUUUCAUUUUGUUUUUUAAUUUCUUUUUUAUUUCUUUUUUAUUUUUGUUUACAAAUCUAUUAAAUGAAAGUGGGCAUAAAAAAUAAAAAUAAAAAAGAGGAGAAGAGAGUCUUACCGAAUCCACUCCGUGGCUGCGUCGUCGGAGUCCUCCUCUCCGUUCGGCACGGUGAACGACGGCGAUGAUGGGUUUCCGAAAUCCUAACUAAAAAGGGGGAGGGGGAGAGAACUGAGAAGCUCUGUAUUCUUUUUGUUUAAAAUUGGGGCUGG